GACGAACGCUGGCGGCGUGCCUAAUACAUGCAAGUUGAGCGAUGAAGAUUGGUGCUUGCACCAAUUUGAAGAGCAGCGAACGGGUGAGUAACGCGUGGGGAAUCUGCCUUUGAGCGGGGGACAACAUUUGGAAACGAAUGCUAAUACCGCAAAACAACUUUAAACAUAAGUUUUAAGUUUGAAAGAUGCAAUUGCAUCACUCAAAGAUGAUCCCGCGUUGUAUUAGCUAGUUGGUGAGGUAAAGGCUCACCAAGGCGAUGAUACAUAGCCGACCUGAGAGGGUGAUCGGCCACAUUGGGACUGAGACACGGCCCAAACUCCUACGGGAGGCAGCAGUAGGGAAUCUUCGGCAAUGGACGAAAGUCUGACCGAGCAACGCCGCGUGAGUGAAGAAGGUUUUCGGAUCGUAAAACUCUGUUGGUAGAGAAGAACGUUGGUGAGAGUGGAAAGCUCAUCGAGUGACGGUAACUACCCAGAAAGGGACGGCUAACUACGUG
Molecule: ribosomal RNA, 497 nt
Filed under: uncultured bacterium
Lineage: Bacteria
Description: partial 16S ribosomal RNA
Rfam family: Bacterial small subunit ribosomal RNA
Source: RNAcentral